UAUUAUCAAAUUUAACUAGAUUGUAUUACAUUGUUGUUGUUACUCACAAAACCCAACUCUACACCUACUCCGACCCUCGAACCCAAUCAAAUAUAAAUAAUACUAUAUGCAUGCACUGGGAACCAAAAGAAAUUGGGUUACUUAAAAGUUUGUAGGCCAAGUAUGAUUGGAAUAUUUCGAGUUUUUCGUUAUUGGUAACUAACUACACCCACCCCUUCUCAUGUGCUAAAUUAAAAGGGGAAUCUUCUUGGAAAGCAUUUGGGUACUUUAACGAUAAGCCCAAGUGAGGCUGCGAGGAUUGGGUCCAAGUGGUCCAUUCAAUGGCAAUACAAAAUUUGACCCAACAAAGGUAUUUUCAUUAUCAAAUGCGAUUGGAAUCUAUCAAAAUAAUAUUUAUUCACCGAUUCACGUACCAAAGUUUACCUAUUAUUUAAAAACAAAAAAAAAAAGUUUUACAUAUUAAAAAACAAUAACCGGAGCGAAUAAAAUUACACUAAUAUGCAACUUUUUUUUUUUUUAAAUAUUGACGGCUAAAUGUAGACUUGAUCUUAGCUCUUAGCAAAACAACAUUGAAUCACAGCAAAUUAUGGUUAUAUUACUAACUGUUAAUUUUGAAUUCAUAUUUAGUGAAAUAAAACAUGCGAAUUAGAUAACAAUUAAAAGAAAAUUACAAGAGUAGCCUUCGUUAUUGUUGGAAUGCUCCAUAGUCCAUUCCAUUACCAAGAAAAUGCUAAAAGCUCAACUUGAUGUAAACAAGAGUACAAGACAUGUCCAAGUCAAAGUUUUCUCCUAACUUGUAAGUGAUACGAAGAUGGGUGUAAACAAAACAAAGACAAAGUCUUUGUCGAAACUCCAGCUCUAGUAGGAGGAAAGCGAUGAUCAUGACAAAAAGGCUUGACGAAAAUGGAAUUUGAUGAGUAAAAAUUGGUUAAGCUGGAGUGAAGGAAUGAGUUGUGUUGACUGAAUUAGAUUGAAUGGGGUUCUAGGGUUUGAAUUUUGAAUGUUGAAUGCUUCAAUCUCGAUGAUUAGUAGUAAUUCACAAAGUUGUGAUGAAAUAAUAGAAACGGGUUACAGAAAGAACGUUCAAAAAAUGACGAUAAUGAUAUGAUUUUCAGCUCGUUUACUGACUCCCACGCUUGGUUUUUCUAUUUUCGAGUAGUUUCGUCAAUAUUAUUUAAUUUCCAAUUAACGAACACUUGCGUUAUUUAUUAUGCAAUUGCCAUUCCAAAAGAAUGUUAAAAAAAUGGUCAAAAUUGAGCAGCGGUUAGUGCACAAAAACCAUGGGCACAUGCAGUGAAACGAGCAGCUUGGUUGAUAAUUUUAUUGAACAGGGAGACGACAAGAGAGAGAGAGAGAACAAAGGAAAGUUCGUUAAACGCCAAACCCUAAAAUAAAACCCAACAUGCAUCAUAAGUUUUUCUUAUUCUCAACUCUCAAGUUAUUAUAUAGGCAAGUGUCUCGAAAUCGCCUCUUAAUUAUUAAGUUAAAAGAAUCCCACCAAACUUUGGAAGAUUCCAAGAGUGAAAAUUUUGAAUUAUACAUAGAUACAUUUUUUCAGGUCCGAUAAUAUUCAAUUACGAUAUAUAUCAAGUAGCGAUUUGAAUAUUUGAGCAUGAUUCGUAUAUUUUCUUGUUAUGAGACUAUCUUAAUUGCUAUUGAAACUUGAAAAUUCUCUAAUAUGUUUACAUUAUUGAUUCAAAAGGUGUUAAGACACUCAACGAUUCACUUCUUAUUUUUUUGUAAAAAGGAAUUUAAGUCUCUUUAUGUGCAUUAUUUGAGAAAGAUUUUCUUAAUGUUUCAUUUUAAAGUAUCAUAUUCAAUAUGCUAUAAGUAUAUUAUUAAAAGAACUAGUAUUAAUUAGAAGAACAAAUAGUCCGUUUGGGAGUAUGAUGAGGUAGCUGUACUGUCAAAGUCUUGCUACUAAAGUGUUUGGUAACACUUGUAGAUGAGCUUUAGCAGCUUAGCAAAUAUUUUUUUUCUAAUUUUUACUCCACAACUGUAGAUUUUAUUUUACAAUAAUUACAACUUAAAAGUUACAAUACCUCACUCCCAAUCAUACUCAAAAUUGAUACGUUUGAGCAGUAAAUCUCACAUAAUUAAGAUCAUCACUCAAUUUAUUGAAAAAUAAUCAUAACAAAAUUCAAAAAGAAAAAGCAUUGAAGUGGGGGGGGGGGGGGUGUCGACUGGAGAGCACAGAUAUUGGCCCACUACUUAAUUAUUAUUAUUAUUAAUUUUUAUUUUUUUUUUGCACACAACAUAUUGCCACAAAAAUGGCAGCCAUUUAUCUCAUUUUGUCAAAGCCUGGCAAUUAUCAACUUAUUCGCGUGUGAAAUUUAAUGAGGAAGAGUGCGUCAGAAUGAGUGAGAGUGUCGGUGCUUUGGUUUGGUGAAGCGCGCUGUACCAAAAAGACAAGACGCCUAAUGCUGAUUGAUCAGAUUCGUAGAUUUUCUUAAAGAGUUAUAUGGAAAAGGGAGACACAUAGCUGGGUUGGUUUAUUUAAUUAUGUGAUUAAAAAUUCCUCCCAAAUCGUACAAAUCCAAAAACUCAUUAAGUCAUAAUCCCUCAUCCACUACCAAAAUUAGUGUCUCCCGUUUGUUUGUUUAAUCAUUAACGUUGUUUUUUUUCCCUCUUGUGCUUUCCAGCUCCACUUUGUUGUUGAUGUGGAUUGACUACUCUCAUUUUUGGAAAAUUAUAACUUAGAAACACACCCACUUCAUUCGAUUGCCUCAAAUAUCAUUUUUUUUUCUUUUUAGGGUAUUUCUUUGUUACAAUAAUGUAAGAUUGAUACAACUUUUUUGUAUACAUUUCUCAUUUGAGAUAGACACUGCCUCGUUGGAUUAAUCUAGGUCAAUUUCAACAUAUUUCAAAGACAUUAUGAAGGAAAAAAGAGAGAAGAAAAAAAAAAGAAUUGUUGGAUCUAUGUAUCCAUAUAAUUUCUUUAUCUAUUUCAAAGGUAAAAUUAUGAGGGACAUUUAACCAACAAAUGAGGAAGCAUCAAAAGAAAAUAAGAAAGCAAAGUUUGAAUUUUUUUUUUUUUAUAAGUUCAAAAAAAAAAACUGGAUUUGGCUUCAGUGUGUGGGGAGAGCAGAGCAGCCGGGAGCUCAGUCAACACAAAACCGAGUGAGAUUUGUUUUCAUUUUCUUAAAUUCUUUCAUUUUUUUAUUAAUGAAGUCCAAUCUGCCACGUGGAAUUAGUCCGUAUGGUCGAACGUACAAGCUGUGUGCAUGAGAAUACGAGAAAUACAGCUGGUGUAAUGCCACGUAACACUAUGUACGUAAUUGACUUUAUUUUUUUGAAAAUUCACUCUAAUCUUAUACGCGUGAAUACAGUCCCCCAUCACAGCAAGGCAACGCAGAUGGAGCGUGGAUGUGACUUGCUGGAAGCACGAGUGGAGUUUUACUGUUUCUCGCGACAGCCUACGAGAUUUGUACUUUUGGGUACAAGCACCGUAGAGUGGCGGUGGCGGUUGAGGAGGUUGACUCAUGACUGUAUGCUCUGUCAUUUAUUUUUCUCUCUUUUUUGUUUUUGUUCGAAAGGAAUGAAAAAUAGAGUAAAUGGCACCGUUUUUUUUUAGUACUUUUUAUUCGUUAAUUCAAUUUAUAUUUUUAUUUUUUACCAUAUUCUGAUUUUCAAUUUUGAAGAGUCAGGCCUUUGUACAAUGCUCAACAAUAAAAUUGCUAAGCAAAAUAUGAGCUAUUUUAUCCCGACAAACCAUUUUUUUUUUUUAAUUUAUAACAUAAGCAUGUUAAAUUUUGGCUAUAUUUGUGAUUUGGGCUGGUAGCUGGUAGGUUAAUUGAAAAAUCAAAUUGUACAAAUAAAAAAAUUAACAAAAUCAAGUAAGACUAUUCAAACAUUUUUAAGAAGUUGAUUGAAAAAAAAAACAUUAUUAAGAACUUGAAAAAUCAAAAUGAAACUUUAUCUUAUAAUUUUAUAUUGACUAUUGACCAUGGUCGAAGUGGCAGGAGACUAUGUACAUCAUUCAUUGACAAAGAAAUUUCCUUCUCUUUUUUUUAUUAAUCAAAACAUAUAAUUUUUUGUUGACACUGGUCAAUGAAGAAAAUUAUAAACACAAAAUAAUUUGAUCACUAUAAUUUUUUAGUAGUACAAAAUGUACCCAAAUUCCACUUCAAUCUGUAAUUUUUUUUCUAAAAGAGUAGGAUUUGAAAUCUCAAAACUCUCGUAUGAAUAAAAUAAACUAUCUUUAAAAAUAAUUUACCAAUGAUAUAAAAAAUUUACCUCAUUUUUUUCUUCGAAAGUUUACAUAUAUAUUUUAUUUCAAAAUAAGCACUCUAUUCAAUUUUUUUUUUUAAAAAAAAAAAGAGAGAAAAGAAGAAAAUCUCUAUAUUAUAUUUAAUGUUAAACAAAAAUAGUCAAAUAAACGUGGUUGGAAAUGGGGCCUCUCUUUGUAAAAUGAAAAAAAAAAAACAAACCCUUUUCCUUCUGCUUCUCAUAUCUCUAAUUCUCUAUAUAUAUUUGCUUGAUAAGAAUAGCAACAAGCCAGCCAUUUGUUUGUGCAUUCUUGAUACAGAGAGAGAAGCUCAAGAAACUUGAAUUUCCACUCUGUUAAAAAAAAAAAAAUCCAUUACAAACCCUUUAAACAACUUCAAAACAAACAAUACAAUCAAAUCGCACGCCACCUCUCGCCCUUCAUUUUCUCUCAUUUUGGUUCUAAAUUUCUUCUCAUUUCCGUUUUAUCCAUUUUAUUAUUUUUUGGCUCUUUUUGUUUCGCUCAGGUUAAGGUAUGAGUCAAUCUGCAUUCCACUUUUAUCCUGUCCCAUUUUUCUCAUUUGCAUUUUGCCUUUUUGUUUUUGCAUUGAAAUGAACAUUGUAGUUGUAGAGCUAAAGAUGAAAAAGCGUUGGUCUUUUGUUUAUUUAUUUUCACGAUGAAUGCCAUUUGAAUGUCAUUAUUGAUUUUUUGUGAUUUUAGGUUAAUUAUUUGUAUCAUUUUGAGGAAAUAGAAAUGUGUUUUCAUGGGGAUGCUUGAAAUUUGUGCAACUGAGCUUCUUUUGCAUUUAAGCUAUAUCUAUGGCCUGAGAUACAAGGAAAAUGCUAAAAAAAUGCUUGGACGUUGAUGCUUUUACCUCAUAUUGCAUUUCCCAGAUAAAAACUUUCUUUAAAUUGUUUAUAUUUAUUUGAUUUUUGAUGAUUCAAACAGGUACUCAGACCGAUAAGUCUUGGUGAUUUGAGAUCUUGGGACUUCAAGCUAACCGCAAGCAUCCGUUCAAGAUGGAGAUGGGGAUAUCAUUUUCAUACCCGGUUGCUGAUUUUGAUGAUCUUGAUAGCCCUUUUGGAGAAGUUCAUUUGAGAUCAAUUAGUCUUACAGAGGCUGCUAAUGAGAGGUCAGUGCUGCGAAAACUCAGUGUCAAUGGCCGCGAAUCAAAUUCAAAACCAACUGCGCUAAGGAAGAAGAUGAUUGAAAGAUUACUUAGCUUUGAAAGGAGAGCAUUGGAGGGCAAGUUCUCAUUCAAAACCCCUUCUGCAGAAAUGGAUAAUCAAGUUUUUGGUAACACAAUGAGCUUUAAGGAUGCAGAAAGUGGUGACCAAUCUCCAGGAUCAUAUGAUUUUCAAGACGCCAAAUCCCAUUUGCCAUUGGAGCAUGGGAAUCAAAUAUACCAAGCUGCCUUAAGGUUGCAGAAAGUGUAUAAAAGUUUCAGAACAAGGAGAAGGCUGGCUGAUUGUGCAGUUCUUGCAGAGCAGAGAUGGUAUGAAUCAAUCAAUCAACCUCAAUGUGCUGUAAAGAUCUAUUAAAUAUUAUGCUCUUAACAGCUAUAUAAUAUUUGACUGUCAUUGUGUAGGUGGAAGGUCUUAGAUUUCGCUGAGCUGAAGCGGAGCUCCAUAUCCUUCUUUGAUAUCGACAAAAAUGAGACCGCUCUUUCUCGUUGGUCAAGAGCAAGAACAAGAGCUGCUAAGGUGAGCGUCAGACAAUGAGUUGAUUCACUUUCUGUAACAUCUCUCUGGUGAUUCUGAUAGCUGAUUUUUCUUUCCUCGGCAGGUAGGGAAAGGGUUAUCGAAGUCUGAAAAAGCUCGUAAGCUUGCUUUGCAGCACUGGCUUGAAGCAGUGAGUUCACUUUUCCAUGGAAUCCUUCAAAAUGAAACGACUAUCUGUUUGCUAGAUUACCCUUGUUGAUCAUUUUUCUUUUUAUUGGUAGAUUGAUCCUCGCCAUCGCUAUGGACAUAACCUUCAGUUCUACUAUGUCACCUGGUUGCAUUGUGAGAGCCAGCAGCCAUUCUUCUACUGGUAAGGAUACUUGAGACCCCAACAAAAUGAACAGAAAAAUUCUUAGCUCCAGUACUAAGUAUAAUUUAAAAAACUGACACCAACAUUCUGGCAUCCAGGCUUGAUAUCGGAGCAGGGAAAGAAGUUAAUCUUGAGAGGUGCCCCAGAUCAAAGCUUCAACAACAAUGCAUCAAGUAUCUCGGUCCGGUUAGUCUCAUCUCCAGCAGCAAUUACUCAUGUUAUCACCUUUAUGAGCAACAAAUGAUUUGUUUCGUAUGAUAUCAAGUUUACUGAUAUAUCCGUUGAAAAAUCGAUAUUUUUUUGACUUUUUUUUUUUCCAAUUUGCAGACAGAAAGGAUGGAGUAUGAAGUAAGAAUAGAGGAUGGGAAGUUGAUUUACAAGAAGAGUGGGACAGUUCUUGAUAGUACAAAGGGACCAAAAGAUACUAAGUGGAUCUUUGUGCUCAGCACUUCAAAGACAUUGUAUGUGGGGCAGAAGAUCAAGGGCAAUUUUCAACAUUCAAGCUUUUUGGCUGGGGGAGCCACGCUAUCUGCUGGGAGAUUAGUUGUUGACAAUGGAUAUCUAAAGGUAGACAACAAGCCACCAUUUGAAUUUUCAAGAAAUUAAUUCAUAUUCAAAAAGUGCGUUAGUAAGUGCUUUUGGGUAAAAUAGGCCUUAAGGCACUUUCAAUGACAAUAAGCAUAUAUACAUUUAUGUUAAUCAACAUAAAUGAAAAUAAAAGCACUUUGGCUAUUUGGAAAAACUUUUUUCCAGGCCAAAAGUAUUUCCAAACAUACUACAAUUUCCAUACUUUCGGGCAGGUGUUUGUAUAUUGAUAUUGUUUUUCUUAACUUGAUAGGCAAUUUGGCCACACAGUGGACACUAUCUCCCAACAGAAGAAAAUUUCCAAGCAUUCAUGUCAUUCCUCAGGGAGCACAAUGUGGAUCUCACUAAUGUGAAGGUAAAAUAAAGUUAAAUUGAGUAGCAAGAGAUUUUCAACUAUCCAAAAUCUCCUUUAAAUAUUGGACAAACUGAGGCUAAUUUGGCAUAUCUUUCUUGCUACGUUCCAGAAAAGCCCAGAAGAAGAGGAAGAAGUAGCUAUCAAAAAGAGCAAAAGCAUCCAUGACAACCCACUGGAAGUAGGAAUCUCUCAAGACACUGAAGCAGCAGAUGUUAAAACCUCAGCUCAAGAGGACAUUGAUUCAAGAAAAGAAGGGCCUAAUCCUGCAGAAAAUCCAGCUCAACCUGAACCAAGAGAUGAAGUACCAAGGAGCAGUGACAUGAUUGACAUUUGUAAGACAGAAGCACUUCCAGAAAGUUGCAGUUCUGAAUAUCAAGAGCAUCCUUCAGAUGAUGGUUAUGAAACAGCUGAAGAAUCAUUUUUGUCAGAGGAAGAUUUCAUGGUUUCUAAAAAGAAUCUGUUUGAUGAAGAUGCAGAAGAAAAUGAAAAGCCAGUUCCAAAAGAGAAAAUCAUGCAAAGGAUAGAUUCACAUAAAGGACUGAAAUCAUAUCAGUUGGCUCAGCAAUUAUCCUCAAAAUGGAGUACAGGGGCCGGGCCACGGAUUGGUUGCAUGAGGGAUUACCCAUCCGAGCUACAAGCCCAGAUUCUCGAGCUAGCAAACUUGUCUCCAAGAGCAAGUUCAUCAUCUCGGAUCAGAAGCCACUCUUGCCCGAGAGUGCUUGCUCCAAAUUCAGUAAGCCGAGAAAUAUUGGCCAAAAGCCCCCUCGCUCCAGAGCAAGUAGUAGUAUCACAAACAAAACCGUAGACUACUUUGAAAUGAAAACACAAAUUCAUUCAUUUUUUGAAACUUAUGUUGGGGAUAGAGAACAUGACAUAGGAGAUACUUUCUGUAUUCUAUACCAAUCUUUUACACGUUACCUUCUUAAAUUCAGGGUAAAAAUGGCAUGAAAUUUAAAGGGACCAUACAUGUUUAUGACAAGACGAGUCCCUUUUCAAUUCUUUAGUUUUUUGAAAUCUUCUAAAUUGGAUCUAAAGUUGAAGAAAAAAGGGGAAUUGAAAAUCAUUCUUCUCUCGACAUUGUAAAGUAGCGUUCUGUAUCCGACACUGAAAGCCACUUUAGAAGAUAUUGGAUCUAGAACUACGAAACUUUGGAUGGCACUCAAUCUUGAGUUUUGGUAAUUAAUUUUAUGUAUCAAUGAUUUUCAAGUUUCAGAAUGUAUUUAAUAGGCUUAAAUUAAGCUAUGACACAUGUCUGCAUGAUCACCACCACCAAAACAAAUCCUACUGUUGGUUUAAAAAAAAAAAAAAGAAGCCCUUUGUUGAAUUAUUGAACACCUGCAAUUAUCCACUAACCUCUAAAGCAUCGGAAAUUCUAAAACAUUAAAGCAGCAAAUCCCCACCUUACCAUGUAAGAUGGCACCCAUAAAAUUGAUGUUUAAAGUUCAUAAAAUCAUUUGAAAACCAAAUAACUGUUCUUCUCUGAACCCAUUAUUUUCUUCUGAGAACAGGAGUUAGAAAUUACGCUUGUAACAUCUAAAACUGAAGAUCAUAAAAGUGUCAUCAAGGAAGACUAGGAUUCAGGUCUGUGAUUCAACAAACCAGUGAAACAGUAACAGUCACUGGACAGAGAAUUUGUUAGUUAUAACAUAUUUCAAUGUACAUAUCAUAUUUCUUUGACGACUGAGAUAUACAUUAUACAUACAAGAGGAAGAAUCAAUGACAAAAUUAUACAAUAAUUAACCUAACCAACUAAAAUACCUCUCUCAUUACAACCCCACACCCCCGCCCCAACCCAAAACCACGAGUGGGAAAAAAAAUAAAAAAAGAGGGACACCAAAAGAUUAAAGGAUAGUAUACUAUAUGGGUAAUUUUUACUUUCCUCCCUUGAGUUUUGGGUUUUUUGCACUUAGAUGGCGAAGAUCCGUUUAUUAGUGAAAACCCCCCCACCGUCAGUUAAUUUUAUGGUUGACUGUUAGUGGAAGUUAAAAACUCUAAAAUGCCCCUGUUGGAUUUGUACACAUCUGAAACAUUUGGCGCCAAGUUUAUAUCAACUAUAAUAUUACUAUUAUACCCCUUAAAUAUAGGUUAUUUACAAUUGAAUUCAAUAAAUAAAGAGACAAUUGUAACCCUAACAAUAAAUCAUAUAAACCAAAAUACUACUUCAACAUCAUAAUACACCACACUGCAAUACCAUAAAACAACAUAAAUAAAUGAUACAUAUAUUAAAGAAAAAGCUAAAAUGUAAUAAAUACCAAAUGCAAACAAUAUGUGACUAUAAUACCAAUGUGCAAAUCAUCCUAAAACAAGUGAGAAGAUAAUCCAUUAAUUACAUUACAACAUUAAAUAAUAUUCAAGGGUGUUUAGUAUUGUUUCUCAAAGUUAGUUUUCUAUUUUCUACAAACAAUCGUGAAAAAAAUGAUUUCCGAAACAAACAUUUUAUAAAUGACUAAGUGCAUCUGGAUAAGUUCUUUUUUCUCGUCUUUCUAAAUAAAAGUUGAAAAUGUCUUUAACAGUUUAUGGACUUGUAAUGUUGUUUGAUAUCAUAUGCUAUGAUAAGAGUAUUACUACUUUAAAGUAAACAAAUUUACUCCACAGUUCUACAAAUCUCAUCAAAACCAUGUCAAUUAACAAGAAAUCAAGCACCCACUCAACAUUUUCCACUUAGAGUAGUAUCAAAACGCUCCAAAUUAGGCCCAAAAAAAAAAAAAAAAAUUGUAAGGGACUAACCUUUUAUUGGCUUCAACAAAGCGAUUUGGAUUCCUGGAGCAUCGGCGAAAUUCAGAGCGAUACAUAAUGCAGGUCUUGUGUUUCUUAUUCACUUUACACAAGUAAUGGAUACUGCUCUACAACAAAGAAGAUUUUUUUGCCUUCUAAACAGAGCUCUUAACUGUGCUUGUCGAAACAGAAAAGGCCACAAUCGUGCUUCACGAAAGAGAAAAGGCCACUUUGAAUUGUUUUACAAAUUUUGCUUUAUAAAUUAAGACACAAUUUUUCAAACUGAUUUGACAACUCACUGGCUCAUGUCAACCAAAAAGCGUAAAACUUUUGCUUGUCAAAUGAGAUUACCAAAGUGCCCACAACUAACUAACAGAGAACUAACGUUUGCAAUUCGUAGGGGGGUUUUCACUAAUAAACCGAUCUUCGCUAUCUAAGUGCAAAAAGCCCAAAACUCAAGGGAGGAAAGUAAAAAUUACCCUAUACUAUAUGAAAGGAAAUAUGGCAUACUCUCCAUAGAAUAGAUUCCAUAUAAACUGAUAGAACCCUGAGAUUGCCUCCUGCAAAAAGAAAAUUAACAUAGAACCAUAUCAAGAAGAGAAAAUAAAUAUGAUUCUUCUACUAGAGGUUUGACAUUGAGAAGGCAAAGUUCAAUUGUUACAGCCAAAUUUAAUUAGAGAUUAGAAAGCAGCAAAAUUUCGAAAACUUUACCACCACACCCACUUCAUUAUUAUGUGAAAAUACUUAGCAAGUUUACUAUCACAGUAGAAAUAGUACCCAAAAGGCCACCCAAAAUAAAUUGAUCUGAUGUCAAAAUUAUUCCUAAGAGGGUGUCUAAAACAUUAUCUUGUUAAACUAUAAUAGCAGAUAUACUGUUAUUUCAUUGUGUAAUUUAGGUUAACAGGGUUACAGGGGCUUUUAGCAUCUUUUAAAGUUUGCAGACUCAGGACUUUCAUAUACGAGUCCUAUGUUAAAUAUAAAUAUAGCAUAUAGGUGAGGAGGGCUGUGCCCAUACAAUGGUAAAAUUUAAUUCAGUUCUCUUCCAAUAUUUUAUUUUUCCUCCUCCUUAAAUCCAUUAUUUAUUUUGUUUCUAAUCAGUAGAGAUUCUUUAAUUCUUUCACCCCUUCUAAUCAUGUUGCACUAUCUACAUCAUUUUUUUCCUAAUCACAUAAUUUUAAUCAUGUCCGAAAAUAGAGCUGAAAAAAGAAAUUUUUCGUUCGAAGAUCAAAGAUCUCAAAAGCUUAAUGAAAUCCAAUGAAACCUGCAGCCUCCAGGUUUAUAUCAAUUAGUUAUAGAACCCAACUCCUCUUCAAAACAAUCAUUCAGUAUACAUUCCUGAAUCAAGAUGUGAAAAAAGGUUUUCCAACUAAAUUGAUAAUUAAAGGAAUGUUACCACAUUCCUAAGGUGCAACAUGUAGCUAGAAUUACCUUGGUAUAAUUCGCUCGUUCCAAUAACCAUGUCUGAAACCAUAUUUAAAUAGAAUUUUAUGUUAAGGAAUAAAACUUGAUUAAAGAACAACAAAAAAGAAUCUUUAAAUUAAAGCAGCAGACUAACAAUAACCAUGCAUAGCAGAAAUUAAUUUCUAAAUCGGGCAUAGUCUUGACCAGCUAGCAGUUUAAAAAAUUCUAAGUUUAUAAGAAAAGACCCAAUAAUAGUAUUCAAACUCUGAUGUCCUCCAUGUGCAUGUUUCUGGACAUAACUUACAUAAUGCAAAAUAAUAGAAUCAAAAAAUUCUAAGAAUUUGAACAGAAGACAUUUUGGUCAAAAUAGUACGUAAUCCAAAAUCUUUAGCUUAUGGAAGAAAGCCCAAAAUAGUAUUUAAACUCUAAUAAAGUACAUAACAGGAAGCACAUAAAGUGGGGAAAAAAAUUAUCCAGGCGACGAAUCAGAAGUAAUCACAUUAAAAAGAAAAAAUGAUUGUGGUAGUACAAAGAAACACACCUGGAAUAGCAAGCAUGAAGCCAAGAUUACAUGUGCGGGUAUCAUUAAGCUACGCCUGAAAGCCUGAAAAUUAUACUAGACUUUAGUUCUCCUAGCAUUGAAGAAAAAUGUCAAGAAAUACAACUAUUAAACUGAUUCCAUGAGUUCAGCAGACAACCAUAACAUCAGCAUAAAUUUUGCAGAAACAAUUUAGACUCAAUAAGUCCAAACAGUAAGAGAUACCAUGAAACACUCAACUGAUUCCAUGAGAUUUACAAAUAAGCAUAAGAUCAUGCAUUCAAUGAUAUAAACCGUGUAUAAAUCAAUAAGAAUAACUUCUUAAGAGAAGUGUUCACCUGGGGCAUGUAAAUAGCUGCCAAUAUGGCAGCAACAUAAUUCAACAGCAAAAGUCCAGAACCAAGAAAGGCGAUGUUUUUAACUCCAAGCUUUGUUGCCAAAGUUGAUAUUUUAAAUCUGUAAACACAUAUAUUGGAAUAGGGAAGGUGUUAGAAGUCUAAAAUAUUAGAAGAGUAGAGGGUUUAGUUCCAAUUAAAGCAGAGCAGGUUUCUAAGUGAUGGUAAAAACAUUAAAGCAGAGGAUGCUUGCUGAGGAAAUGAUGAAGAUAAAAGCUAUAAAUUGGACUAAUAUAGAUUAUUAAAAGUUAGUGGUAGAACAAUCAAAGAGGAAUCUAAUGAAUAUAACUCUGUGGUAGAAAUGACUCAAAGAAAAAGAAAAAGAAAGAAAACCAAUAAAUUGAUCCAAGUAGGGCAGAAACUUACUUGCGAUCCCCCUCAACAUCUGGAAGAUCUUUGGUGACAGCAAUGACCAGAGCAAACAAUGUGACAAAGGCUGUAAUGAAAGCAACAGGUGCACUGCAAUUAGAAAGUGAAGAGGCAACAUUAAGAUUCUUCCUUAGUUUGCAACACCAUGCACUCAGCCAAGGGCAUUCCAUAACAAGGAGGACCAUAUAGCAUUCAAGAUUAUUAUUAAAUUUUGUUUGUUAUGCUACUCUUCAUUCAAGAGUUGACCCACAACUAAAAAGUCAAGACAGAUACUGGUCAGCUUGCACAUGAAAACCAUGGUUUACACUUGCAUGGAAAAUUUUAUUUGGUUGUGUCUCAAUUGACUAUGUUCUGACGCAAUUGAUAUCGAUAACAACUUACUUCCAUUCAAAUGAGAGUCCAAGGGCAGCUCUGGUGGCGUAAUAUACACCGAAAUUAAGGAGAAAACCCCGCACCUGCAGAGGUUAUUUUCUGUUAUCUUUUGUCCAACAAUCUAACUUUCUCGAGGCACAUGUGUCUAGAUAAAAAUUGUACCAAUCAAUGUAAAAGAACAACAACUUUAUUAGAAGCAAUAAAAUAACUGUUAUGCAAACUGAAAGAUUCUUAAGAUAAAUCAAACAGAAGUAGCAUAAAAUCAGAACUUUUUGUCUUAAGAACAAUUCCUGACACUUAAUAUAUCUAAAUUUUUAAACACAGCUUCUAUAAUGGUUAUCUUUUCAUGACACCAAUUAGGGAUAUCCUUCUCUGGGCUAGUACUUUACAAUGUGACUAAAAACCCUAUUCUUGUCUAUACAUCAGUUAGAAUUUUUCAGAUUAUGAUUCCAAUCUUAUGAGCAACUUGUGCAUCCAAAUGCAGUGUGUUGAUUAUGGUGUAUCAUCAAAUUUCAAACAUCAAUGGAGAAGUUCACAAAUUAACAUAAAGUUGAUUGUUGGAAUUUGGAGAAGAGGGUGAAAAUAAAGCAUACCGUGGCUAUUAUAAGAAAUGCAGCAACAGCAAAUCUCUUCAUUCUAAAUGGUGGAACAGAGUAGAUGGUUCCCAAAAAAAGGCCAAGACAGUAAAGAGAAGUGAUAAAUGGACCAAAGUUGAAUGCAACAAUCAAGAGACCAGUCACUGCAAAAAAUAUCACUAAAAACCAUGCAGAUUGAACUGACAGAUCUCCCGCAGCUAUUGGUAAGUAUGGUUUGUUUACCCUGCAUAAAGAGAGCAUAGGAAUUUACAAACAUAUAUUUAUCAUAAGAAGAAUCUUGGAUUAAAGACUGAGUACGCAGUUAACCAACUUUACAGUCCACUUUCAUGGCUUAAGAUGCCUUACAAUGAAUUGAAUCAAGAACUCCUGGCUAAGUAACAUAUCAGUCCGGGGAAUUUUUUGAGAAAUUUUAAUCCAGAUACUGGCAGUCCUAAGAGUUAGCUUUGUUAAACAGAUGAAAACAAUCUGACUAAAAUAAUGUAUAAUGAUCAUUGGUUGCGUGAAAACCACACUUUUGCUUUUAAGGCUAUGCAAGUCAAUUACUAGAUGUUUUAUAUGGAACCAAAGGAUUUAAGAAAAAAAGUUAAUUGCAUACUUGUCAAUUCCGAUAUCGUAGAUCUGAUUGAUGCCAACUAUAUAACCAUUCCCACAAAUGAGAGCCAAAAGACCAGAGAACGCCUUCAACAGCAGAGACCACUUUAUUAGAUUAGGGUUCUCAAUCAGCGCUCUCGCCACCAAAGCACUGUCAAUUAAAUAAUCAAGUAUAAAUGUCAUAAGAUCCAACUAAAAUUGAUUUACACAUGCUAACCAGUGUGCUCAUUUGUAAGUACUUACACAGAACCUAGAGCAGUUCCGCGGAUUGUGUGUGGCCUUAGAAAUCUCCAGCAUGCGUCUCUGAAAGCUGACACUUUGUUCAGCAAUGGAUCGGAACCAGCAGCUCCAAUUUGAGAGGAAGCCUGUAAGCAUCCAUUUUCACAUUAAAUCCAUAGACAUGCUCCGGAGUCUCAUAGAUACAAUAUUGUAAAUUCAACCAUAUCAAAUCUUAAAACCUGCCAAAUGAAAUUCAGCAAAAGCCAAUUAAAUUUAUUGAACUUGGUUUGAUUCAACUAGUACAUUUUCAACCUGCUAACUGAUUGGCUGGUUUCCAGCAGACAAUCACUUGUUGCCGAUAAAUACGUCAUACAUAACAUCAAUUAUUCAUUUUUUCCCAUCAUCAUACACUUGGUGCAACUAAUAGUAUCAUGUAAACUAUACCGCUCAUCCUUAACAAGCAUAUUGAUCUAAAUGUAAUUAGUCUUCAUAGCUCACACAAAUGAUACAACUUAAGGUGCAUAUCACAGUUCUUGUCUAAGCCAGCUAGUAAAAUGAGCUACUUCCUAUUCAAAAUAACAUCUUAAUUUCAAUUAAAUGAAGCUGACGUUUGAGUAAGAUAGAAAGCAAAACAUACCCAGAUGAAGUUACGCUGUUUUGAAGCAUGUUUAAAACCAGUUCUGUGCCUGUAGAGCCCAAAUGAAGGAAAUUUGUUGGAGGUUUUUAAUAAAUUCUCAGAGGAUAUACAGUUUGGCUUAAUGGGUGUCUUUGUUUGAUGUGGAUAAGUACUGCGAAAUGAAGUUACAGCAGAAAUUCUAAGGGAAGAGAAGUGAGCGAAUGCGAGCUCCAUUAGAGAGAGACAGCUGAAAAGCGAUUAGCAAAGCUGUGGCAGAGUGCGGUCUAUAUUUUUCUGAACAACAAAUUUUUGUGUUUUUUUUUUCAUGUUCAGGUGCUUGCAAUUGUUACCCUAUGAAUUUUAUAUUUUCACUUAUUUGAUUCGGUUUUAUAAAUUUCGUCAUAAGCAUCCUCCACCGUUUUUUCGUUUUUUUAAAUGUUCUUUAUGAAUUGUGAAAUUUUGGUAAUUUAUUUUACCAUUUCAUUACCAAAUCUGCAUGGUAAUUUGAAUGAGUAUAGCUUAUAAUGUCUCGCUAAGCACAUGUACACACGAAGGGAUGGUAAAAAUUCCUAUAAAGAUAAGGCUGCUCGAGGAUUUUUCUCAUUUAAGAAGGGUAUCAGGAAUGUUUUUAUACCUAAUUUUUUAUUCAAUAAGGAAGAGAG
RNAcentral lists this long non-coding RNA (15652 nucleotides) under Citrus x clementina. RNAcentral's name for it is "Citrus clementina (C. clementina) long non-coding RNA (CCLE_LNC002035)". Lineage: Eukaryota; Viridiplantae; Streptophyta; Magnoliopsida; Sapindales; Rutaceae. The record is from RNAcentral.